GUAGCAAAGUUAACAGCAGUCCCAGUAUCUGUCGUGCUAGUAGGCCAUGAGAUUUUGGGGAUUUCUUGAGAGCUGGAUUUUCCUGAUAUCCCUGCAGAGAGUGGAGUUCUGUGUUUGUAACUGGAUUGUGCCUUCAGUGGAAGCUGGCAUUGCUCCCUGCUGCUGAACAUUGAUCCUUCCAAUAGGAAUGCAGGGAAAACCAAAGGAAAUUUCUCCUUGGUGAGGCCUGGUGUGUCUUCUCUUCUGUGGGCAUAAAAGGGGCUUUGCUUGGGGCAGGGAGCAUUAUGAAAAGCAUGGAAAUAAGGACCUCAUAAAACAUGGAAAAAUACAUGACCUGGAAAAUCUCCAUAAAACUGAAGUCAAAGAGAGAAAACUCUUCAUGACGGAAGUCAUGCCUCACAUAAAGGAAAAUAGUUGUAAUUGCUGGAGGCCUGUCAACCUGUCUGCAGGCCGUCACUGCAGAAGCUCAUCUAGA
This is a long non-coding RNA of Hypanus sabinus (Atlantic stingray), 475 nucleotides long. RefSeq lists it as uncharacterized. The transcript has 3 exons. Lineage: Eukaryota; Metazoa; Chordata; Chondrichthyes; Myliobatiformes; Dasyatidae. The record is from RefSeq and is a predicted model, not a curated record.